RNAcentral lists this ribosomal RNA (498 nucleotides) under uncultured bacterium. RNAcentral describes it as "partial 16S ribosomal RNA". It matches the Rfam family "Bacterial small subunit ribosomal RNA", at positions 355 to 861 of the family's 1533-position model. The record is from RNAcentral.
UGGGGAAUAUUGCACAAUGGGCGCAAGCCUGAUGCAGCAACGCCGCGUGAGGGACGACGGCCUUAGGGUUGUAAACCUCUUUUAGUAGGGAAGAAGCGAAAGUGACGGUACCUGCAGAAAAAGCACCGGCUAACUACGUGCCAGCAGCCGCGGUAAUACGUAGGGUGCGAGCGUUGUCCGGAAUUAUUGGGCGUAAAGAGCUCGUAGGCGGUCUGUCGCGUCUGCUGUGAAAACCCGAGGCUCAACCUCGGGCCUGCAGUGGGUACGGGCAGACUAGAGUGCGGUAGGGGAGAAUGGAAUUCCUGGUGUAGCGGUGGAAUGCGCAGAUAUCAGGAGGAACACCGAUGGCGAAGGCAGUUCUCUGGGCCGUAACUGACGCUGAGGAGCGAAAGCGUGGGGAGCGAACAGGAUUAGAUACCCUGGUAGUCCACGCCGUAAACGUUGGGCGCUAGAUGUGGGGACCAUUCCACGGGUUUCCGUGUCGGCAGCUAACGCAUU